UCAUUAGUAACAAAGUCAACGACUUUCAUUCUCCACCACAUAAGAACAAACAUAAAAACCAAAACUUUAGAUUGUAUCUAUUAUAAAUCUGAGCUCAUCACUGAACAAGUUGGCAUAAAGAUCAAGUCUUUUAGCUCAAGAUCCAAACAGCAACUCCAAACCCAUCACUAACUAACCGAUAAGAUCAUACAUCCAUACGCGGCCGGAUAGAAAGCUUACUUUGGUUGAGGAAGGAAUCUUGCUAGAGGUAAUAGCUUUGCAGGGUCGAUGUAGAACUUGUCCCCUUCAGCAUAUGAGGUAGAUCGGGGCAUUGAAGUAAGGGAUCUUCUCUUGGACACAGCAUCACCCUCACAAGCAUGGAGAAAGGUUGCAACUUCUGUUAUAUAACCGACAAAGAAACCUUGUCAUAACGGAGAAAAGUCAUAAAGUUUGUACCUUUUUAAGUUAAACUACUGUCACAAAACUUCCAACCCGAAGAUGAAUCUAUCAAAAGGGCUAAGAGACUGAUUCUU
This is a long non-coding RNA of Brassica rapa (field mustard), 512 nucleotides long. RefSeq lists it as uncharacterized. The record is from RefSeq and is a predicted model, not a curated record. NCBI's taxonomy places the organism in Eukaryota, Viridiplantae, Streptophyta, Magnoliopsida, Brassicales, Brassicaceae.